This is a long non-coding RNA of Corapipo altera (White-ruffed manakin), 695 nucleotides long. RefSeq lists it as uncharacterized. NCBI's taxonomy places the organism in Eukaryota, Metazoa, Chordata, Aves, Passeriformes, Pipridae. The transcript is spliced from 3 exons. The record is from RefSeq and is a predicted model, not a curated record.
AGUGGUGCAAUGCAGCAAGCAGGGUGGAAAGGAGUCUCCUCUGGAUAAAGUCCUGUGACUCAUUUAAAAAGACUGAACAUCACUUUGACGUACACAAACAGAACUAGAAAGCAGCUCAAGCCAAUGAAACAAAGCUUGUUUUGCAGGAAAACAUUAGGUAAACAUUCCUAGAAAGACAGAAGUGAAAUGCCUGGCAGGAACUACAGCAAGCAUCUGCUGCUCAGUGGUUAAAGAUUGCCCAGCAAAGUCAAGGGGACGUGAGAAGAGACCAAGGCUGAAGCUGAGGUCAUACCUGAGGAUCUUUCUACAUUCCUCCAAAGGGUGGAAAUACCACCCUACCACACAUUCUCCUAAAUCAUAUGGGAGAUCUUCAGCUGAGUCACUGUAGAAGAGCAAUGUAGAAAUUUCCAAAGCUGGAAGGAGCAAAGUUUUACAGACAUCCUAUUAUGUUCAACUUACAUAAUCUCAGUAUUUAGCUGCUUAGAUAAUAUAGUGAUAGAGCUUUAUGGAAUUAAAAGAGAAAAAGCUUCUCACAGAUAAUAUUGUAGCAAGAAUGGAAUUAGAGUGCUCAAAAAAUCUGUAAAAUAAGUCUCAUUUUCUUUCUGGCUUUAUUGGACAUUUCCAAGAGGGACUUAAUGCAACAAAGACGAUACCUCAACACCUAAGAGUGAUGACAUAAUUUAUGCUGAACUGUG